GACGAACGCUGGCGGCGUGCUUAACACAUGCAAGUCGAACGCUGAAGCUCAGCUUUUGUUGGGUGGAUGAGUGGCGAACGGGUGAGUAACACGUGAGUAACCUGCCCCCCUCUUUGGGAUAACGCCCGGAAACGGGUGCUAAUACUGGAUAUUCACUGGUCUUCGCAUGGGGGUUGGUGGAAAGGGUUUUUCUGGUGGGGGAUGGGCUCGCGGCCUAUCAGCUUGUUGGUGGGGUGAUGGCCUACCAAGGCUUUGACGGGUAGCCGGCCUGAGAGGGUGACCGGUCACAUUGGGACUGAGAUACGGCCCAGACUCCUACGGGAGGCAGCAGUGGGGAAUAUUGCACAAUGGGCGCAAGCCUGAUGCAGCGACGCCGCGGGAGGGAUGGAGGCCGUCGGGUUGUGAACCUCUUUCGCUCAUGGUCAAGCCGCAACAAUGGUUGUGGUGAGGGUAGUGGGUAAAGAAGCGCCGGCUAACUACGUG
This 483-nucleotide ribosomal RNA is filed under the name uncultured bacterium. RNAcentral describes it as "partial 16S ribosomal RNA". It matches the Rfam family "Bacterial small subunit ribosomal RNA", at positions 28 to 507 of the family's 1533-position model. The record is from RNAcentral.